GGAGAAUUAACUCAGUGGUUAGAGUAUCUUGUUUACACCAAGGCGGUCGGGGGUUCGAAUCCCUCAUUCUCCACAA
This 76-nucleotide transfer RNA is filed under the name Rhodovulum sp. RNAcentral's name for it is "tRNA-Val". It matches the Rfam family "tRNA". Rfam says of the family: Transfer RNA (tRNA) molecules are approximately 80 nucleotides in length. Their secondary structure includes four short double-helical elements and three loops (D, anti-codon, and T loops). Further hydrogen bonds mediate the characteristic L-shaped molecular structure. tRNAs have two regions of fundamental functional importance: the anti-codon, which is responsible for specific mRNA codon recognition, and the 3' end, to which the tRNAs corresponding amino acid is attached (by aminoacyl-tRNA synthetases). tRNAs cope with the degeneracy of the genetic code in two manners: having more than one tRNA (with a specific anti-codon) for a particular amino acid; and 'wobble' base-pairing, i.e. permitting non-standard base-pairing at the 3rd anti-codon position. The record is from RNAcentral. Lineage: Bacteria; Pseudomonadati; Pseudomonadota; Alphaproteobacteria; Rhodobacterales; Paracoccaceae.